UGACGGUACCUCUUGAAUAAGCUCCGGCUAACUACGUGCCAGCAGCCGCGGUAAUACGUAGGGAGCAAGCGUUAUCCGGAUUUACUGGGUGUAAAGGGCGUGUAGGCGGGACUGCAAGUCAGAUGUGAAAGCACGAGGCUCAACUUCGUGUCUGCAUUUGAAACUGUAGUUCUUGAGUGCUGGAGAGGCUAACGGAAUUCCUAGUGUAGCGGUGAAAUGCGUAGAUAUUAGGAGGAACACCAGUGGCGAAGGCGGUUAGCUGGACAGUAACUGACGCUGAGGCGCGAAAGCGUGGGUAGCAAACAGGAUUAUAUACCCUG
RNAcentral lists this ribosomal RNA (320 nucleotides) under uncultured bacterium. RNAcentral's name for it is "bacterial SSU rRNA". It matches the Rfam family "Bacterial small subunit ribosomal RNA", at positions 470 to 789 of the family's 1533-position model. The record is from RNAcentral.